AUUGAACGCUGGCGGCAUGCCUUACACAUGCAAGUCGAGCGGCAGCACGGGAGCAAUCCUGGUGGCGAGUGGCGAACGGGUGAGUAAAGUAUCGGAACGUGCCCAGUCGUAGGGGAUAACGUAGCGAAAGUUACGCUAAUACCGCAUACGAUCUAUGGAUGAAAGCGGGGGAUCGCAAGACCUCGCGCGAUUGGAGCGGCCGAUAUCAGAUUAGGUAGUUGGUGGGGUAAAGGCUCACCAAGCCGACGAUCUGUAGCUGGUCUGAGAGGACGACCAGCGACGCGGGGACGGAGAAACGGCCCAGACUCCUACGGGAGGCAGCAGUGGGGAAUUUUGGACAAUGGGCGAAAGCCUGAUCCAGCCAUGCCGCGUGCAGGAUGAAGGCCUUCGGGUUGUAAACUGCUUUUGUACGGAACGAAAAGGUUUGGCCUAAUAAGCUGAGCUCAUGACGGUACCGUAAGAAUAAGCACCGGCUAACUACGUGCCAGCAGCCGCCGUAA
Molecule: ribosomal RNA, 500 nt
Filed under: uncultured bacterium
Lineage: Bacteria
Description: partial 16S ribosomal RNA
Rfam family: Bacterial small subunit ribosomal RNA
Source: RNAcentral